Molecule: non-coding RNA, 56 nt
Organism: Salmo salar (Atlantic salmon)
Lineage: Eukaryota; Metazoa; Chordata; Actinopteri; Salmoniformes; Salmonidae
Source: Rfam
GCUCAGUUGGUAGAGCAUGGCGCUUGCAACGCCAGGGUUGUGGGUUCGAUUCCCAC